Molecule: ribosomal RNA, 426 nt
Filed under: uncultured bacterium
Lineage: Bacteria
Description: bacterial SSU rRNA
Rfam family: Bacterial small subunit ribosomal RNA
Source: RNAcentral
AGGGAAUCUUCGGCAAUGGACGCAAGUCUGACCGAGCAACACCGCGUGAGUGAAGAAGGUUUUCGGAUCGUAAAACUCUGUUGUUAGAGAAGAACAAGGAUGAGAGUGGAAAGUUCAUCCCUUGACGGUAUCUAACCAGAAAGCCACGGCUAACUACGUGCCAGCAGCCGCGGUAAUACGUAGGUGGCAAGCGUUGUCCGGAUUUAUUGGGCGUAAAGCGAGCGCAGGCGGUCUUUUAAGUCUGAUGUGAAAGCCCCCGGCUUAACCGGGGAGGGUCAUUGGAAACUGGGAGACUUGAGUGCAGAAGAGGAAAGCGGAAUUCCAUGUGUAGCGGUGAAAUGCGUAGAUAUAUGGAGGAACACCAGUGGCGAAGGCGGCUUUCUGGUCUGUAACUGACGCUGAGGCUCGAAAGCGUGGGGAGCAAAC